Cynocephalus volans (Philippine flying lemur) is the source of this 2312-nucleotide long non-coding RNA. RefSeq lists it as uncharacterized. The record is from RefSeq and is a predicted model, not a curated record. The transcript is spliced from 5 exons. Lineage: Eukaryota; Metazoa; Chordata; Mammalia; Dermoptera; Cynocephalidae.
AACCCGGCCUGGGGGGUCGCACCCGCUUGUACGUCUGCGCAGACGUUCGGGAGAGCGGCUCGGGUACCUGGGAAGUGUCGUCAUCGUAUUUUAGGUCAGUUUUGCCUUUUCGGAAUUACUUAGAGGCUUCUCUGCCGCCUGCUUUGCGUCCCCCGAUCCGGGCGGGGCAUGGGGCCGCGUCGCCGGUGCUUUUGUCGCCGCUUGUUGUCCGCGUCCGUGGAGUGGGUUUGAAUCCUGCGGGAACCCUGAGCUCCGGAGGCGGGUGCUUAGCCGCGGAGCGCGGUGCUGAUUUGUGUCCUGGAGGUUUUAUUGCUCCGUGUCUUGAAAAACAAGCUGCAGGUGCGGGCCUGGGGAAGUCUCCUGUCUGGACAGUGGGAAGAGAGCAACGCAGAAGGACACCGGCUCACUAGUGCCUUUACAUUGGUUUGGCUUUAGCUGUGCAGCACUGAUUGCUUCUGGUGGGAUAAUUGGCUAUGCAAAAGCAGGUGUGGGUGACUCGUCUGGAAAAAGAUACUUCUCAUAUUCAAAGUGAGCUCAUAAAGUCCUGCCCUUCAAGUGCUCAAGGACUUGCAAUUUUGUGAAUGGGGCUGGAAGACCUGGCUAAGAUCUUCUAAUCAUUUCCUACCAACGUUUCGCUGUGUCCCAUUUUGGAAGGUAGAAAAUGGUCCUUCAAGAUGACAUCAACAGGUCCUGCUAAAUUUCAAUAUUACUUGAGUUUUUCGAGUGCCACCUCAAAGCAGUACUUGCCCCAGCCUAGACCAUCAUACACAUUAUAAUGGCAGGCCAUUACAUAUUUUAUUUAUUGAUUUUUAUUGAAACAUAAUCAAUUGUACAUAUCUGUGGGGUAUGGAAUUGGAUUUUAAUACCUGUGUGCAAUAUGUGAUGCUCAAAUUGGGAUAAUCAGUAUAUUUGACAUUAUACAAUGUAAUCGUUCUUUGUAGGCCAUUACAUUUUUAAUGAGCCCAUGGGCUCCCUUGAGAUCACCAAGUGUACCACAUUUGGGGGCCAUAGACGAGAGAAAUUGCUGGGUUGCAGACAAAGGCUUCACAGAGGAGAUGAACUUUGAUAUGGGUUUUAAAGAAUGAAUAGGAAUUCACAGCUAGAACACGGGAUAAGGCGUUCUCGAUAAAUCAGAGCACCUGCAAAAGAAGCCCGCUCGCUCUUCACUAGAAAAAGCCUAGUUCUCCUGUUUAGGUGGCUACAGAGGAGGUAUCUAAUCUCGUCUAAACUGGGCAAAAUGCACGAAAGUUAGUCCACCAGACAAGCCCAACCUUACAUUAAUCAUGCUUUGCUUCGGUUGCUCUAUUAUUGUGUAUAGAUAGUUACAAUUACAGAAAACAGGUGCUGACAUUCUCAAAGGCCCAUCUGAGGGGAAAUUACUGUAUAAAAUCUGACACCUACACACCAGACUGUAAUGAGCUGGACGGGCAGGGUUUGAACAGUGUGAGAUGAUAGAUGGAUGAUAAGAUCAGAACCACCUUUUAGUUAAAGGUUAACUCAAAUUGAAUACUUUGCUUCUUGCUUUUAUCUUGUUCAUUCGUUCACUGGGUUGUAAUCUGUAUGCUGAAACUUUGCUAUGUGCCUGGGCUAUAGCAGUAAGGAGACAGUCAUGGCUGCUGCCUUAAUGGAGCUUAUAAUUUGGCCCCAAACUGAUUUUUGGAAGGAGACAAAGCAAAUCUAAUUCUACCAGUUAGAAUACAGAGCAACAUAUUCAAAGAAUAAUCAGAGAAACACAUAAAAUUCACCAUGCAGAUCAAGCAUGAAACGGAUGAACUCAGAAGGCAGUCUUACUGAUCUCUGAAGCAGAGAAAUGAAGCUAUUUUCAACCUUUGUAGGCCUUUGGCUUUUGGACAUUUGGAGGCUUUGCCCCAAACCACAGUACCAAAUUAAGUAGAAUUUUUGCUUUUAAAAUAUUGAAAACUUUUUUCUUUUUUUAUAACUCAUUUUUAAAUUAUUUGACUAUGAGUAACUCAUUUAAUUUAGAAUUGCCUGUGAGUUCUUGUCAAUCACGAUGCAUAUUUAGAAAUCUUUGCCAAGUGAGAAAAAUCUAAUGGACAAAUUGUUUUUAAGUGUAACAAUUAAUGGGGUUGACAUGUUGUUUCCUAGACAUUUGUCUAAAUGUUUAUUAAUUUCUAUUUUGUAGUUUUUGUGUUUCAUAUUUUGGAGCCAAAACUUUUUCUUUUUCAGCUUUCAAAUAUUCUCAUAGGCCCUGGGCAUUCUGCCUACAAUGUCUAAUGGAUAAAACAGCCCUGCAUACAAAAUUCAGAGUGAAAAAGACCAAUGAAACGAAAUAAAGGUGUCUGUGUAUAUGG